GGGGGUGUUAUAUGAGAACCUAAAACACACGGACAAACACGGUGCUUCCCAAGCACGAUGUUGCGAGUUCGAGCCUCGUCGCCCGCU
RNAcentral lists this transfer RNA (87 nucleotides) under Anaerolineaceae bacterium. RNAcentral's name for it is "tRNA-Ser". The record is from RNAcentral. Lineage: Bacteria; Bacillati; Chloroflexota; Anaerolineae; Anaerolineales; Anaerolineaceae.